Molecule: ribosomal RNA, 161 nt
Filed under: Ephemerocybe subdisseminata
Lineage: Eukaryota; Fungi; Basidiomycota; Agaricomycetes; Agaricales; Psathyrellaceae
Also listed under: 2 other names
Description: Coprinellus subdisseminatus 5.8S ribosomal RNA
Rfam family: 5.8S ribosomal RNA (bases 1-120)
About the family: 5.8S ribosomal RNA (5.8S rRNA) is a component of the large subunit of the eukaryotic ribosome.
Source: RNAcentral
GAUGAAGAACGCAGCGAAAUGCGAUAAGUAAUGUGAAUUGCAGAAUUCAGUGAAUCAUCGAAUCUUUGAACGCACCUUGCGCUCCUUGGUAUUCCGAGGAGCAUGCCUGUUUGAGUGUCAUUAAAUUCUCAACCUCACCAGUUUUGUAAUGAGACUGUGUA